RNAcentral lists this ribosomal RNA (497 nucleotides) under uncultured bacterium. RNAcentral's name for it is "partial 16S ribosomal RNA". It matches the Rfam family "Bacterial small subunit ribosomal RNA", at positions 28 to 507 of the family's 1533-position model. The record is from RNAcentral.
GACGAACGCUGGCGGCGUGCCUAAUACAUGCAAGUUGAGCGCUGAAGGUUGGUACUUGUACCAACUGGAUGAGCAGCGAACGGGUGAGUAACGCGUGGGGAAUCUGCCUUUGAGCGGGGGACAACAUUUGGAAACGAAUGCUAAUACCGCAUAAAAACUUUAAACACAAGUUUUAAGCUUGAAAGAUGCAAUUGCAUCACUCAAAGAUGAUCCCGCGUUGUAUUAGCUAGUUGGUGAGGUAAAGGCUCACCAAGGCGAUGAUACAUAGCCGACCUGAGAGGGUGAUCGGCCACAUUGGGACUGAGACACGGCCCAAACUCCUACGGGAGGCAGCAGUAGGGAAUCUUCGGCAAUGGACGAAAGUCUGACCGAGCAACGCCGCGUGAGUGAAGAAGGUUGUCGGAUCGUAAAACUCUGUUGGUAGAGAAGAACGUUGGUGAGAGUGGAAAGCUCAUCAAGUGACGGUAACUACCCAGAAAGGGACGGCUAACUACGUG